Molecule: ribosomal RNA, 456 nt
Filed under: uncultured bacterium
Lineage: Bacteria
Description: bacterial SSU rRNA
Rfam family: Bacterial small subunit ribosomal RNA
Source: RNAcentral
UACGGAAGGCAGCAGUGGGGAAUAUUGCACAAUGGGCGCAAGCCUAAUGCAGCCAUGCCGCGUGUAUGAAAAAGGCCUUCGGGUUGUAAAGUACUUUUCAGUCGUGAGGAAGGUGUUAAGGUUAAUAACCUUAGCAAUUGACGUUAGCGACAGAAGAAGCACCGGCUAACUCCGUGCCAGCAGCCGCGGUAAUACGGAGGGUGCGAGCGUUAAUCGGAAUUACUGGGCGUAAAGGGCACGCAGGCGGUUAAUUAAGUUGGAUGUGAAAUCCCCGGGGCUUAACCUGGGAAUGGCAUUCAAGACUGGUUAGCUAGAGUCUUGUAGAGGGGGGUAGAAUUCCAUGUGUAGCGGUGAAAUGCGUAGAGAUGUGGAGGAAUACCGGUGGCGAAGGCGGCCCCUGGACAAAGACUGACGCUCAUGUGCGAAAGCGUGGGGAGCAAACAGGGAUUAGAUACC